Molecule: long non-coding RNA, 662 nt
Filed under: Hordeum vulgare
Lineage: Eukaryota; Viridiplantae; Streptophyta; Magnoliopsida; Poales; Poaceae
Description: long non-coding RNA (HVUL_LNC006709)
Source: RNAcentral
CUGUGAGCCACAGGGGGACUCAGCAAUCUCAUUUCCAAAGGUAUCAAGACUAGCAAAGCUUAAUAGGUGAGGUAUGGUUAAGUGGUGAGGCUGCAGCAAGCGACUAAGCAAUAUAUAUGAGGUGGCUAACUUACGAGUACAAGAAUAAGAGGGGGUGAUCUACACAUAACGGACGUGAACUAGUUGUUGGGAAACGUCGCAUGGGAAACAAAAAAAUUCCUACGCGCACGAAGACCUAUCAUGGUGAUGUCCAUCUACGAGAGGGGAUGUGUGAUCUACGUACCCUUGUAGACUGUACAGAAGAAGCGUUAGUGAACGCGGUUGAUGUAGUGGAACGUCCUCACGUCCCUCGAUCCGCCCCGUGAACCGUCCCGCGAUCAGUCCCACGAUCUAGUGCCGAACGGACGGCACCUCCGCAUUCCGCACACGUACAGCUCGACGAUGAUCUCGGCCUUCAUGAUCCAGCAAGAGAGACGGAGAGGUAGAAGAGUUCUCCGGCAGCGUGACGGCGCUCCGGAGGUUGGUGAUGAUCUCGUCUCAGCAGGGCUCCGCCCGAGCUCCGUAGAAACGCGAUCUAGAGGUAAAACCAUGGAGAUAUGUGGUCGGGCUGCCGUGGCAAAGUUGUUUCAAAUCAGCCCUAAAAACCUCCGUAUAUAUAGGGG